UGAGGAAUAUUGGACAAUGAGGGAAACCCUGAUCCAGCAAUGCCGCGUGGGUGAUGAAGGCCUUCGGAUCGUAAAGCCCUUUCGACAGGGACGAUGAUGACGGUACCUGUAGAAGAAGCCCCGGCUAACUUCGUGCCAGCAGCCGCGGUAAUACGAAGGGGGCUAGCGUUGCUCGGAAUUACUGGGCGUAAAGCGUGCGUAGGCGGUUUGGUCAGUCAGCCGUGAAAGCCCCGGGCUCAACCUGGGAACGGCGGUUGAGACGGCCAGACUCGAGUGGGCUAGAGGAUCGUGGAAUUCCCGGUGUAGCGGUGAAAUGCGUAGAGAUCGGGAGGAACACCGAUGGCGAAGGCAGCGGUCUGGGGCCACACUGACGCUGAGGCACGAAAGCGUGGGGAGCAAACAGGAUUAGAUACCCUGGUAGUCCACGCGGUAAACGAUGAGCACUAGACGUUGGGCGGGUGACCGUCCGGUGUCGCAGCUAACGCGCUAAGUGCUCCGCCUGGGGAGUACGGCCGCAAGGUUG
Molecule: ribosomal RNA, 523 nt
Filed under: uncultured bacterium
Lineage: Bacteria
Description: bacterial SSU rRNA
Rfam family: Bacterial small subunit ribosomal RNA
Source: RNAcentral